This 836-nucleotide ribosomal RNA is filed under the name Panorpodes paradoxus. Its description in RNAcentral is "partial 16S rRNA". The record is from RNAcentral. Lineage: Eukaryota; Metazoa; Arthropoda; Insecta; Mecoptera; Panorpodidae.
GAAGGUGUAUCUAGAAAGACAAAUUAGAGCUUGAAAAGUAAAGCAUUUCAUUUACAUUGAAAAGUAUAUUGUGUAAUUCAAUUUAAUUUGAUAAUAAAAAUUUAUUAAUUUUUUUUGUUUAUAAAUUUAUUUAAUAAAAUUAAUUUUAAAUUUAGUUUUUUUUGUAUAAUAUAUAGAUCAAAUAAUUUAUAUAAUAGUUAAUUAGUAUUGUAAAAGAAUAUUGAAAUAUAUGAAAAAGUUUUAAAUUAAAAGUAAAUUUUAUAUAUUGUACCUUGUGUAUCAGGGUUUAUUAAUUAAAAGUUAAAAAUUUAAUUUUCUCGAAUUUAAGAGAGUUAAUUUAUUAUUUAAUUUUUUGUUUCAUAAAAAUUUAAAAUAAUAAAUUAGAAAUGAAAUGUUAUUCGUUCUUAAAUAUAUCUAGUUUUUUGAGAAAUAAAUUAAAUUUAGAUUAUUAAUAAAUAAUUAUUUAUUUAAAUAAUAAAUUAUUAUUAAUAAUUAAUAUUUUAAGGGAUAAGCUUUAAAGUAAGUUUUAUAAUAAUUUUUUAAUUUAAAAAUUAUAGAUUUAGAAAUAGUCAUUAAUUAUAAAAAUGUUAUAAUUUAUUUUAAAUUAAAAAUAAUUUUUAUUAAUUUAAGUUUUUUAUUAAAAUAAUUUUUAAAAUUAUAUAAGAAUUAAAGUAAUGAUAAAAUUAGUAUAUUUAAUUAUUUAAAAUAAAUAAAUUGAAAGGUUAAAUUAAGGAACUUGGCAAAUAAAUACUCGCCUGUUUAACAAAAACAUGUCUUUUUGAAUAUAAUUUAAAGUCUAAUCUGCCCACUGAAAAAUUUUAAAGGGCCGCGGUAUU